AACGAACGCUGGCGGCAUGCCUAACACAUGCAAGUCGAACUAGACCUUCGGGUCUAGUGGCGCACGGGUGCGUAACGCGUGGGAACCUGCCCUUAGGUUCGGAAUAACUCCCCGAAAGGGGUGCUAAUACCGGAUAAUGUCUUCGGACCAAAGAUUUAUCGCCUUUGGAUGGGCCCGCGUUGGAUUAGCUAGUUGGUAGGGUAAAAGCCUACCAAGGCGACGAUCCAUAGCUGGUCUGAGAGGAUGAUCAGCCACACUGGGACUGAGACACGGCCCAGACUCCUACGGGAGGCAGCAGUGGGGAAUAUUGGACAAUGGGCGGAAGCCUGAUGCAGCAAUGCCGCGUGAGUGAUGAAGGCCUUAGGGUUGUAAAGCUCUUUUACCCGGGAUGAUAAUGACAGUACCGGGAGAAUAAGCUCCGGCUAACUCCGUG
This 433-nucleotide ribosomal RNA is filed under the name uncultured bacterium. RNAcentral's name for it is "partial 16S ribosomal RNA". It matches the Rfam family "Bacterial small subunit ribosomal RNA", at positions 29 to 507 of the family's 1533-position model. The record is from RNAcentral.